Molecule: ribosomal RNA, 495 nt
Filed under: uncultured bacterium
Lineage: Bacteria
Description: partial 16S ribosomal RNA
Rfam family: Bacterial small subunit ribosomal RNA
Source: RNAcentral
GACGAACGCUGGCGGCGUGCCUAAUACAUGCAAGUCGAACGCUGAAGGAGGAGCUUGCUUCUCUGGAUGAGUUGCGAACGGGUGAGUAACGCGUAGGUAACCUGCCUGGUAGCGGGGGAUAACUAUUGGAAACGAUAGCUAAUACCGCAUAAUAGUAGAUGUUGCAUGACAUUUGCCUAAAAGGUGCAAUUGCAUCACUACCAGAUGGACCUGCGUUGUAUUAGCUAGUUGGUGGGGUAACGGCUCACCAAGGCGACGAUACAUAGCCGACCUGAGAGGGUGAUCGGCCACACUGGGACUGAGACACGGCCCAGACUCCUACGGGAGGCAGCAGUAGGGAAUCUUCGGCAAUGGACGGAAGUCUGACCGAGCAACGCCGCGUGAGUGAAGAAGGUUUUCGGAUCGUAAAGCUCUGUUGUAAGAGAAGAACGAGUGUGAGAGUGGAAAGUUCACACUGUGACGGUAGCUUACCAGAAAGGGACGGCUAACUACGUG